CCUACGGGAGGCAGCAGUGGGGAAUUUUGGACAAUGGGCGCAAGCCUGAUCCAGCAAUGCCGCGUGAGUGAAGAAGGUCUUCGGGUUGUAAAGCUCUUUUGUCAGGGAAGAAACGGCCUGUUCUAAUACAGUGGGCUAAUGACGGUACCUGAAGAAUAAGCACCGGCUAACUACGUGCCAGCAGCCGCGGUAAUACGUAGGGUGCAAGCGUUAAUCGGAAUUACUGGGCGUAAAGCGUGCGCAGGCGGUUUUGUAAGUCUGUCGUGAAAUCCCCGGGCUCAACCUGGGAAUGGCGAUGGAGACUGCAAGGCUAGAGUUUGGCAGAGGGGGGUAGAAUUCCACGUGUAGCAGUGAAAUGCGUAGAUAUGUGGAGGAACACCGAUGGCGAAGGCAGCCCCCUGGGUCAAAACUGACGCUCAUGCACGAAAGCGUGGGGAGCAAACAGGAUUAGAUACCCUGGUAGUCCACGCCCUAAACGAUGUCUACUAGUUGUCGGGUCUUAAUUGACUUGGUAACGCAGCUAACGCGUGAAGUAGACCGCCUGGGGAUCGGUCGCAAGNUUAAAACNCAAAGGAAUUGNGNGNGAGAGNGCGAGACGACGACGAGGAGAGG
Molecule: ribosomal RNA, 612 nt
Filed under: uncultured bacterium
Lineage: Bacteria
Description: bacterial SSU rRNA
Rfam family: Bacterial small subunit ribosomal RNA
Source: RNAcentral